RNAcentral lists this ribosomal RNA (635 nucleotides) under uncultured bacterium. Its description in RNAcentral is "bacterial SSU rRNA". It matches the Rfam family "Bacterial small subunit ribosomal RNA", at positions 8 to 642 of the family's 1533-position model. The record is from RNAcentral.
AGUGUUUGAUCAUGGCUCAGAUUGAACGCCGGCGGCAGGCCUAACACAUGCAAGUCGGGCGGUAACACAGAGAGCUUGCUCUCGGGUGACGAGCGGCGGACGGGUGAGUAAUGUCUGGGAAACUGCCUGAUGGAGGGGGAUAACUACUGGAAAAGGUAGCUAAUACCGCAUAACGUCGCAAGACCAAAGAGGGGGACCUUCGGGCCUCUUGCCAUCAGAUGUGCCCAGAUGGGAUUAGCUAGUAGGUGGGGUAAUGGCUCACCCAGGCGACGAUCCCUAGCUGGUCUGAGAGGAUGACCAGCCACACUGGAACUGAGACACGGUCCAGACUCCUACGGGAGGCAGCAGUGGGGAAUAUUGCACAAUGGGCGCAAGCCUGAUGCAGCCAUGCCGCGUGUGUGAAGAAGGCCUUCGGGUUGUAAAGCACUUUCAGCGAGGAGGAAGGCAUUGUGGUUAAUAACCACAGUGAUUGACGUUACCCGCAGAAGAAGCACCGGCUAACUCCGUGCCACAGCCCGCGGUAAUACCGAGGGUGCAAGCCGUUAAUCGGAAUUACUGGCGUAAAGGGCACGCAGCNGUCUGUCAAGUUGAUGUGAAAUCCCGGCUNAANCUGGGACUGCAUUCAAACUGCAGCU